GAACACCAGUGGCGAAGGCGGCUCUCUGGUCUGCAACUGACGCUGAGGCUCGAAAGCAUGGGUAGCGAACAGGAUUAGAUCCCCUGGUAGUCCACGCCGUAAACGUUGGGCGCUAGGUGUGGGGGUCCUUCCACGACCUCCGUGCCGCAGCUAACGCAUUAAGCGCCCCGCCUGGGGAGUACGGCCGCAAGGCUAAAACUCAAAGGAAUUGACGGGGGC
Molecule: ribosomal RNA, 219 nt
Filed under: Diacronema lutheri
Lineage: Eukaryota; Haptophyta; Pavlovophyceae; Pavlovales; Pavlovaceae
Description: partial Bacterial small subunit ribosomal RNA
Rfam family: Bacterial small subunit ribosomal RNA
Source: RNAcentral